Molecule: non-coding RNA, 94 nt
Filed under: Crystallibacter crystallopoietes
Lineage: Bacteria; Bacillati; Actinomycetota; Actinomycetes; Micrococcales; Micrococcaceae
Description: Arthrobacter crystallopoietes TPP sequence
Rfam family: TPP riboswitch aptamer (THI element)
About the family: Vitamin B(1) in its active form thiamin pyrophosphate (TPP) is an essential coenzyme that is synthesised by coupling of pyrimidine and thiazole moieties in bacteria.
Source: Rfam by way of RNAcentral
CGCAGUGACACGGGGUGCCCCUUUCGGGGCUGAGAGUAAACCCGUUGAACCUGAUCUAGUUCGUACUAGCGAAGGGAUGUCAUGCAGCGGCUGC